This 492-nucleotide ribosomal RNA is filed under the name uncultured bacterium. Its description in RNAcentral is "partial 16S ribosomal RNA". It matches the Rfam family "Bacterial small subunit ribosomal RNA", at positions 30 to 507 of the family's 1533-position model. The record is from RNAcentral.
AGUGAACGCUGGCGGUAGGCCUAACACAUGCAAGUCGAACGGCAGCACAGUAAGAGCUUGCUCUUACGGGUGGCGAGUGGCGGACGGGUGAGGAAUACAUCGGAAUCUACUUUUUCGUGGGGGAUAACGUAGGGAAACUUACGCUAAUACCGCAUACGACCUACGGGUGAAAGCAGGGGAUCUUCGGACCUUGCGCGAUUGAAUGAGCCGAUGUCGGAUUAGCUAGUUGGCGGGGUAAAGGCCCACCAAGGCGACGAUCCGUAGCUGGUCUGAGAGGAUGAUCACCCACAGUGGAACGGAGACACGGUCCAGACCCCUGGGGGGGGCGGCGGGGGGGAAUUUUGGACAAGGGGCGAAAGUUGGACCCAGCCAUCCCGGGGGGGGGAAGAAGGCUUUGGGUUUGUAAAGCCCUUUUGUGGGGAAAAAAAAGAAGCGGGUAAAUCCCCCGUGGUUCGGAGGGUACCAAAAAAAAAAGCCCCGGCUAACUUCGUC